UACAGAGGGUGCGAGCGUUGUCCGGAAUCACUGGGCGUAAAGGGCGCGUAGGUGGCGGGAUAAGUAUGUGGUGAAAGCCCGGGGCUCAACCCCGUGUCUGCCAUGUAGACUGUCUUGCUCGAGCAUAGUAGAGGCAAGUGGAAUUCCGGGUGUAGCGGUGGAAUGCGUAGAGAUCCGGAAGAACACCGGUGGCGAAGGCGGCUUGCUGGGCUAUUGCUGACACUGAGGCGCGACAGCGUGGGGAGCAAACAGG
Molecule: ribosomal RNA, 253 nt
Filed under: uncultured bacterium
Lineage: Bacteria
Description: partial 16S ribosomal RNA
Rfam family: Bacterial small subunit ribosomal RNA
Source: RNAcentral